GUAGGUGGCAAGCGUUGUCCGGAAUUAUUGGGCGUAAAGCGCGCGCAGGCGGUCCUUUAAGUCUGAUGUGAAAGCCCACGGCUCAACCGUGGAGGGUCAUUGGAAACUGGGGGACUUGAGUACAGAAGAGGAAAGCGGAAUUCCAAGUGUAGCGGUGAAAUGCGUAGAGAUUUGGAGGAACACCAGUGGCGAAGGCGGCUUUCUGGUCUGUAACUGACGCUGAGGCGCGAAAGCGUGGGGAGCAAUCAGGGAUUAGAUACCCUGGUAGUCCACGCCGUAAACGAUGAGUGCUAAGUGUUAGGGGGGUUUCCGCCCCCUUAGUGCUGCAGCUAACGCAUUAAGCACUCCGCCUGGGGAGUACGGCCGCAAGGCUG
Molecule: ribosomal RNA, 374 nt
Filed under: uncultured organism
Description: partial 16S ribosomal RNA
Rfam family: Bacterial small subunit ribosomal RNA
Source: RNAcentral